AGUGAACGCUGGCGGCAGGCCUAAUACAUGCAAGUCGAACGGCAGCACAGCAGAGCUUGCUCUGUGGGUGGCGAGUGGCGGACGGGUGAGGAAUACAUGGGAAUCUGCCCAGUCGUGGGGGAUAACGUAUGGAAACGUACGCUAAUACCGCAUGCGCCCUAAGGGGGAAAGCCGGGGACCGCAAGGCCUGGCGCGAUUGGAUGAGCCCAUGUUCGAUUAGCUAGUUGGCGGGGUAAAGGCCCACCAAGGCGACGAUCGAUAGCUGGUCUGAGAGGAUGAUCAGCCACACUGGAACUGAGACACGGUCCAGACUCCUACGGGAGGCAGCAGUAGGGAAUAUUGGACAAUGGGGGCAACCCUGAUCCAGCCAUGCCGCGUGAGUGAAGAAGGCCCUCGGGUUGUAAAGCUCUUUUGUCCGGAAAGAAAAGCAAUCGGUUAAUACCGGUUGUUCUGACGGUACCGGAAGAAUAAGCACCGGCUAACUUCGUGCC
RNAcentral lists this ribosomal RNA (491 nucleotides) under uncultured bacterium. RNAcentral describes it as "bacterial SSU rRNA". It matches the Rfam family "Bacterial small subunit ribosomal RNA", at positions 29 to 509 of the family's 1533-position model. The record is from RNAcentral.